This 617-nucleotide ribosomal RNA is filed under the name uncultured Lysobacteraceae bacterium. RNAcentral's name for it is "bacterial SSU rRNA". It matches the Rfam family "Bacterial small subunit ribosomal RNA", at positions 1 to 611 of the family's 1533-position model. Lineage: Bacteria; Pseudomonadati; Pseudomonadota; Gammaproteobacteria; Lysobacterales; Lysobacteraceae. The record is from RNAcentral.
UAGAGUUUGAUCCUGGCUCAGAGUGAACGCUGGCGGCAUGCCUAACACAUGCAAGUCGAGCGGCAGCAUGGCGUGUAGCAAUACACGCUGAUGGCGAGUGGCGGACGGGUGAGGAACACAUCGGAAUCUGCCCGGUCGUGGGGGAUAACGUAGGGAAACUUACGCUAAUACCGCAUGAGACCGAGAGGCGAAAGCGGGGGAUCGCAAGACCUCGCGCGAUCGGAUGAGCCGAUGUCGGAUUAGCUAGUUGGUGGGGUAAAGGCCUACCAAGGCGACGAUCCGUAGCUGGUCUGAGAGGAUGAUCAGCCACACUGGGACUGAGACACGGCCCAGACUCCUACGGGAGGCAGCAGUGGGGAAUAUUGGACAAUGGGGGCAACCCUGAUCCAGCAAUGCCGCGUGUGUGAAGAAGGCCUUCGGGUUGUAAAGCACUUUUAUCCGGAACGAAACGCGCCUGGUGAAUAUCCAGGCGAACUGACGGUACCGGAGGAAUAAGCACCGGCUAACUUCGUGCCAGCAGCCGCGGUAAUACGAAGGGUGCAAGCGUUACUCGGAAUUACUGGGCGUAAAGGGUGCGUAGGUGGUUUUUUAAGUCUGCUGUGAAAUCCCCGGGCUCA